This is a non-coding RNA of Pseudomonadales bacterium, 113 nucleotides long. The record is from Rfam. NCBI's taxonomy places the organism in Bacteria, Pseudomonadati, Pseudomonadota, Gammaproteobacteria, Pseudomonadales.
GAGGGCGGGGCCCUCGGGUUUGCCGAUCAGGCGGUGAUUCCAAACCUGGACUGCAUACGUAAAGGGCGUGUGUGGUGAGCGCCUGGGCUCCGGUCUGGCGGUAUCCGGAAUAG